UGGGGAAUAUUGCACAAUGGAGGGAACUCUGAUGCAGCGACGCCGCGUGAACGAAGAAGGCUUUCGAGUCGUAAAGUUCUUUUAUAUGGGAAGAUAAUGACGGUACCAUAAGAAAAAGCCCCGGCUAACUACGUGCCAGCAGCCGCGGUAAUACGUAGGGGGCUAGCGUUGUCCGGAAUAACUGGGCGUAAAGGGUUCGCAGGCGGAAAUGCAAGUCAGGUGUAAAAGGCAGUAGCUUAACUACUGUAAGCAUUUGAAACUGCAUAUCUUGAGAAGAGUAGAGGUAAGUGGAAUUUUUAGUGUAGCGGUGAAAUGCGUAGAUAUUAAAAAGAAUACCGGUGGCGAAGGCGACUUACUGGGCUCAUUCUGACGCUGAGGAACGAAAGCGUGGGUAGCAAACAGG
This 403-nucleotide ribosomal RNA is filed under the name Fusobacteriota bacterium. Its description in RNAcentral is "Fusobacteria bacterium partial 16S ribosomal RNA". It matches the Rfam family "Bacterial small subunit ribosomal RNA", at positions 355 to 776 of the family's 1533-position model. The record is from RNAcentral. Lineage: Bacteria; Fusobacteriati; Fusobacteriota.